This 253-nucleotide ribosomal RNA is filed under the name uncultured bacterium. RNAcentral's name for it is "partial 16S ribosomal RNA". It matches the Rfam family "Bacterial small subunit ribosomal RNA", at positions 524 to 776 of the family's 1533-position model. The record is from RNAcentral.
UACGUAGGGUGCAAGCGUUGUCCGGAAUUAUUGGGCGUAAAGAGCUCGUAGGCGGUUUGUUGCGUCGGCUGUGAAAUCCCGAGGCUCAACCUCGGGUCUGCAGUCGAUACGAGCAAACUAGAGUGUUGCAGGGGAGACUGGAACUCCUGGUGUAGCGGUGAAAUGCGCAGAUAUCAGGAGGAACACCGGUGGCGAAGGCGGGUCUCUGGGCAACAACUGACGCUGAGGAGCGAAAGCGUGGGGAGCGAACAGG